AUUUUUCACACAAUUUCUUUAACAGAAGGUAAUUUUACAAAACCAUUUUUAGCGGUUAAUUAAAACCUUUUACACAACCUUUAAAUCAUAAAUUUAAAACACAAAUUCAAUUUCGAAUUGGCAAAUUUCAAAUAGCAACACAUAUAAUGAAAUAAAAUACGAAUUUGGGUUUAAGUUAGGAUAAAAGUUAAUAGAGAAAUUCAAAUAUUUUUACGUAAUUAAUAUGUAUGAGUAUAUUUAAUAAUAGGAUAAGAAAAAUGUCAUAUAAAUAAAAUUUCAUACAUAUUUAUUAAAUAUCCGUCAAGAAAAUUUGUAAAAGGCGAUAAAGAGAUUUAUUAAUGCUUAAAAAAUUAAUUUCAAAAAAUAACUUCCGAUACAAGUGAGGGAAAACUAUUUAAAUGAUUAUUUGUGUAAAUAUUAAAUGUACAUUAUAAGUUUAGAUUUAUAUUAAAAUUCGAAUAAUU
RNAcentral lists this long non-coding RNA (464 nucleotides) under Ananas comosus (pineapple). RNAcentral's name for it is "long non-coding RNA (ACOM_LNC010364)". The record is from RNAcentral. Lineage: Eukaryota; Viridiplantae; Streptophyta; Magnoliopsida; Poales; Bromeliaceae.